Molecule: long non-coding RNA, 3173 nt
Organism: Arvicola amphibius (Eurasian water vole)
Lineage: Eukaryota; Metazoa; Chordata; Mammalia; Rodentia; Cricetidae
Exons: 7
Source: RefSeq, a predicted model, not a curated record
CCAGCCGCAGCAGCCAGCAGCGUGGUUUCCAUGCCCACCCGCAGGGGCACCAGCGCCCCCUCGCUUGCUCGCUGACCUGGCUUAUGGAAGGAAGGAAGGCGGCUGGGACCCGGGACAGCUGGCCUCCUCCGCCCCCAGCCCUCCUCUGCAGCUGAGGGCUGCAGACCCAGCAGGCGUGCGCUGGCAUGCACCCUCCCGGCUCUAUGUAGUCUGCCCCAGCCUGGAAGCUGAACCCCGGGAGACAGCAAAAGGCACCGGGAGAGGAACUGGAGAAGGCCAAAAAAAAAAAAAAAAAGAGUGCAGGAUCACAGUCAAGGCUGCGGAGCCAGGAAAGACAGCGAUGCAGACUCCGGACCAGGACCUGCUGCACUGAGAAGCCUGUGGAUGGCAGGAGGCCAGGGAAGAAUACAAGCAGGUCCGGGAGGGAGGACGGCCGCGCUCCAGAAAUGAUUAGCGGGAACUUGGGUCAGCAACUGGUCCCAGCACGGUGAACUUGACCAUUCGAGGGGGCUCCCAAGGGUGGUGAAGGUAGGGGGUGUGGCCGAAAGGACACAAAGGCUAAAGACAGCUGGCGGGGGCGGGGGCUAAGGGUGGUGGUGACAAGGACCGAAGGACACCUUUCUGAGAACCAACUAGGGACUCUAAAGACAAUUGAACUGGGGGUAAUUUUGUAUGAGAAAGCUGGAACAGCAAAGAAAGGAAAAUCAGGAUUGAAGAGCAGAGAGAGAGAGAGAAGAGUUAGAAGCCAAAGAAAGCAAACUGCACCCGGAACUAAAGAAAAAGGAAAUCAAUAAAGGAAAAUUUCAAAACACAUGGCAGAGCGAACUUGUUCCUGAAACUACCAACAGAGGGAGGAAAAACUGGGUGGGGGCGCCGAGCAUACUGGAGGAACCAAAAGAGAAGGAAGGAAAGGAGAGAAGACUGGAUGCAAAUUAAACCAGACACGACAUAGACACAGAUAAAUCUGGCAUCACAACAGCUGCCCAUUCUUCUCACUAUGCGGAGUACUGGUAAAGGCAGAGACUGGAGGGGGACGGUCUUCGUUACAAAGGAAUUUGAAUGAGACAGGGAAUCCGUUCUUCAGAAACCUUCCCUUCUGCUCGGACAAUAUCAGGAUAUCUGUUCCAAGGCAAUCUCUUUAUCAUGGAUGCAUCAGAAUUGCUAACAGGUGUCUGAGCUCUGUGCUUCCUCAUCCAUGACAUGAGUUUUGAGCAAGACAAACCACGGCAGCUACUCUCAGCACUCAGGAGAUGAAGGUAGGAAGAUUCCAGUUGGAAACCAACCCAGACUCUAAUACAAGAGUCUCAGGCCACCUGGAGCUACACAGCAAGACCUUUCUGGAAGACCAUAUCAUUUCUUUCAGAUAGCCUAGCCUUCCACCCCAGCCUUCCAAGUGUCUGAAUCACAGGCAUCUACCAGCUCACAUUUAAAAAAAAACAAGAGAAAACAAACCUCACAGAACCUUCUGAAGCACAGAUAAAGUUUGCUUUCUGCCGGAUGUCAUACAAGAUCCUAACUCAGAUCUUUUCUGUAUUCUGGCAGAUUAUUAUAUCACUUUCAAAAUUUGAAACGCUUGCAAGAUAGUUUUCAAUUUCAGUGCCAUUUGCAAGGGUUCUUCCUGCUGGAAAUGUGCAGAUGCCCUUCCUCCAGGCAUGGUCAUCUUUCCCCAGCACCUGUUUUCCUUGCCUAUGUUGAUAAACUCACCCUCACUGGGUUCCUUGGGCUUCACGGUCAGGAUCUCCUAAAGCCUGCUGGUGUCUAUACUCCUGUAGACACCUUUCCUUUCUAACUUCAUAUAGAUUGUUUGAAUUUCAUCUCCAAUGUUUUCCCAUUUCAUUUCCAUCCUUUACUGUUAGCUUUGUUGGCUGAGUUGCUCCACUGAUUAUUAUUACCUUGAAAAUGGACAAUUUUAUCCAUUCCUAUAUCCACUCAGCUUUAUCAAUGAGAGACAAAUGGGAACAGAUUACCUGCACUGUUAUUGGCACAUACUUUUAAUACCAAGCACACUGAGACCAACUACAAAGAGGCUGCGAGAAAAGUGACAUGAUUUGUUACUGUACAAUUUACACUAAACCUGAUGAUGGCAGCUCUUCUGUGGUAACCAGACUAUGGACCAUGAUGUUGUAGGACUGCUGUUAUCAGCCAGUGUGUGCUCACUGAUAUCCAGGAGGUUGGUCAUGUGCAAAACAAAAACUACCUGCACUGUGAUGUUUUAAUCUGUAGCAUCUAGAUAGGUUAAAAGAUGGAAUUUCUAACAAAGGACCUGAGGCAGAAGGAUUCUAAGCUUAUAGCCAUGCUGGACUCUUUAGGAGAAAGUUGUCCUAUAAAGAAAGAAAAAAAGAGAGAAGAGGAAAUUUCUAUAAAUUUAUAACUUUAAACCCCAUCAGUUGUAUUAUAAUAUUUUGGGAAAAUCACUUAUUCUAACCCUUUCAAAUAUCUAUAUCAUCUUUUGUAAAGCAUAGCUACCAAUAGCAUUAAACCAAAAUUAUUGUUCCCUUCUAGUUAUCAUUAGUUGGAUAUUUAUUAUAUAGUGAUAAGGAAAACAUAUUAAUAGGAGUAGGGCAAUAGCCACAUUAUUACUCACAAGUACCAAGAAAUGGAAACAACAUAAAUGUUCUUUAACUUGGAGAUGCAUAAAGCAAACAUAUGUAUAUGCAUGUAUAUAAGUGUGUGCAUGUAUAUUUAUUAUAUAGUAUAUAUACAUAUAUAUAAUACUAUUCAGUCAUAGCAAUAAUGGAAUUCUGUCAUUUAUGACAAUAUGGACUGAAGUCGAAGACAUGCUUGGUUUUAAAAAAAGGCAUAGGAAACCAACUACACCCUUUAUCUCAUUCAUAUGGAAAACUUAAAACUGAUCUCCUAGAAGUUGAGAACAGAGUGGCAGAGUUGAUACUAGAGGUUGGGAAGGUUAGAUACGGGUAAGGAAAGGUUUAUGUUACAUUAUAAACGUGACCUGAAGCUCUGAUAUGUCACUGCUCAAUAGGAUCAUGACAAAUCAUCAUACUGUAUAUUCAAAAGAGCUUGAAGAAAAGGUAAAAAAUAUUUCUACCAGAAAUACAUGUGACUAUAAAGACAUUGAUUUACUUACUGGCUUGAAAAUUCAAUACUGUGCACAGGUAUCAAAAUACCACACAGCAACCUAUAAAUAUGUAUAACUUUAUGUCCCAAUUGAAAAA